Molecule: ribosomal RNA, 498 nt
Filed under: uncultured bacterium
Lineage: Bacteria
Description: partial 16S ribosomal RNA
Rfam family: Bacterial small subunit ribosomal RNA
Source: RNAcentral
AUUGAACGCUGGCGGCAUGCCUUACACAUGCAAGUCGAACGGUAACAGGUCUUCGGAUGCUGACGAGUGGCGAACGGGUGAGUAAUACAUCGGAACGUGCCCGAGAGUGGGGGAUAACGAAGCGAAAGCUUUGCUAAUACCGCAUACGAUCUCAGGAUGAAAGCAGGGGACCGCAAGGCCUUGCGCUCACGGAGCGGCCGAUGGCAGAUUAGGUAGUUGGUGGGAUAAAAGCUUACCAAGCCGACGAUCUGUAGCUGGUCUGAGAGGACGACCAGCCACACUGGGACGGAGACACGGCCCAGACUCCUACGGGAGGCAGCAGUGGGGAACUUUGGACAAUGGGCGCAAGCCUGAUCCAGCCAUGCCGCGUGCAGGAUGAAGGCCUUCGGGUUGUAAACUGCUUUUGUACGGAACGAAAAGACUCUGGUUAAUACCUGGGGUCCAUGACGGUACCGUAAGAAUAAGCACCGGCUAACUACGUGCCAGCCGCCGCCGUAA